CCCGGGACUCGCUCCCGGAACCAGGCGCCGCCGGGACACCAAACUCUUGUUUUUUCAGUAUCUUCUGAGUGGCAUUAUAAAUGAAUCAAAACUUUCAACAACGGAUCUCUUGGUUCUGGCAUCGAUGAAGAACGCAGCGAAAUGCGAUAAGUAAUGUGAAUUGCAGAAUUCAGUGAAUCAUCGAAGUCUUUGAACGCACACUGCGCCCUUGGUAUUCCGAGGGGCAUGCCCGUUCGAGCGUCAUUACACCAAUCAAGCCCUGGCUUGGUAUUGGGCACCGGGGGCGACCCGGGCCUCAAAAGUCGCCGGCUGGUAAGCCCCUGAUCUCAGCGUCGUGGAUCAAUCAAAUUCGCUUGCGAGAAGGAGUGAGCCGUGCCGGUUAAGAAUUAUCUAAAGGUUGACCUCGGAUCGGGUAGGAAUACCCGCUGAACUUAA
RNAcentral lists this ribosomal RNA (435 nucleotides) under uncultured fungus. Its description in RNAcentral is "eukaryotic LSU rRNA". The stretch from base 90 to 243 matches the Rfam family "5.8S ribosomal RNA". Lineage: Eukaryota; Fungi. The record is from RNAcentral.